RNAcentral lists this non-coding RNA (170 nucleotides) under Clostridium botulinum. The record is from RNAcentral. Lineage: Bacteria; Bacillati; Bacillota; Clostridia; Eubacteriales; Clostridiaceae.
AUUUUCAUGGUGCAAUAUAUUUUAUUGCUUAAUAGGGAAGCUUGGUGUAAAUCCAACACGGUCCCGCCACUGUAAGAGGGAGUAUAUCAUUGGAUGCCACUGUUAUUUAUUAAUGGGAAGGUAAUGAUAUUUCUAUGAUCUCAAGUCAGGAUACCUGCCAUAAAAACUUG